CAGAGUUCAUGCCCUUAGGGGUAGAUCUCCCACCCUAUGUUAUCGUUACCUUUGUUGCUUUGGCGGGCCGUCAGGCCUCGGUCAGGCUACCGGCUUCGGCUGGUAAGCGCCCGCCAGAGGACCCCAAACUCUGAAUAUUGGUGUCGUCUGAGUACUAUAUAAUAGUUA
This 168-nucleotide unclassified non-coding RNA is filed under the name uncultured Helotiales. RNAcentral describes it as "sequence contains ITS1". Lineage: Eukaryota; Fungi; Ascomycota; Leotiomycetes; Helotiales. The record is from RNAcentral.